GCGCGGGGCGCGGGGGGAGGGGGGGCGCGUACACGUGUCCGCGUGUGUGUGUGUGUGUGUGUGUGUGCGCGUGUGCGCGUGUGUGCGCGAGGCGAGGAGCCUACCAUGCGCUUCCCCCCGUGCAGAUCGCGGGAGAGCCCAACCACGGGCGAGCUGGACCCGGCUCUGAUCAUUUAUAAUCCCGGACGCCUCCGCUCCGCCACUUGUCAAGGUGACAGGGUGGGCAUCGCAGGUCAGCUGAGUCACCCGAGGAGGCUGGCCUCUCGGGCGAGGCUGAAAGCGCCAGUGACCUCGGCGCGCUGCGCGGGGCUGCGCACACCGGGACCCCCGGGAGCCCCGACCCGGCGGCGGCGGCGGAGCAGCCCCGGGACCUCCCUCCCCACCCCCCCACCCCCGGCGCGCACCGGCGGGGGAUGGCUCCUGGAGGGAGGCCUCUAA
This 438-nucleotide long non-coding RNA is filed under the name Canis lupus familiaris (dog). RNAcentral's name for it is "lncRNA (ENSCAFG00030011728.1)". The record is from RNAcentral. Lineage: Eukaryota; Metazoa; Chordata; Mammalia; Carnivora; Canidae.